UCUUCAUUGUCCAUGCUCUCUCACUGGUUAGAGUGACGAGAGAGUGUGUGGAAUGAAGAGA
RNAcentral lists this microRNA precursor (61 nucleotides) under Pristionchus pacificus. RNAcentral's name for it is "mir-8364 microRNA precursor family". It matches the Rfam family "mir-8364 microRNA precursor family". Lineage: Eukaryota; Metazoa; Nematoda; Chromadorea; Rhabditida; Neodiplogasteridae. The record is from Rfam by way of RNAcentral.